AAGCACAGAGGAAUCAGGAUCAAUCAAAUGGAAAUAAAAUAUCACCACGAAUAAAACACCCGUGGCAACACCGCUGCUGCUUUCACACUUAUCAAGAACAAAUCAGCUCUUUGAUUUACACAAACCUCCCAAACGCCUCUGAUGACGCACGAGCAGAAACUCGCAAAUAACGCCGCCAAAAAUUUAAAGUGAAAUGUUCUCAGGCUGAUCUGAGUCACAGUUUAAACAGAUUCACAUUGGUGUCAAAUUACAAAAACAUAAAAAUAAUCUGGAGAUUCAAGAUGGUCAACGAAAGACUCAGUGGUUACACCAGGGGUGUCCAACAUGUGGUGCGGGGGCCACUGUGGGCCAAGGAGGUAUUUAGGCCACAAGCCAGUUGAUGCAGGUAGACAUUUUAUUUAUUUUACUUUAUUUUAUUUAAAAGAAGGCAAUUUUCAUAAACAGACUAAUUAAAAGUCUACUUCAAAUGAAAAAUGUAAAGUGUGACACAUUGUAUUCAACUUUUAUCUUUAAUUUAAUAGUAAAUAAAAAUGAAAACAUCCGGAGACUUUUACUCAAACAGGAGACUCAUGCUCAAUUAUUAGUAUUAUAUUUUAUUUUUGUUGAAAUAAAAACCCAAAACAUUCAUGACAUUGUUUUUUUCUUUCUCCAGGCAAACCUGUGAGAAUGUUUCAGGUUUGCAGAUCCGUCUGCUGCAGACCUUAAUAUCGCUUGUUGUUAAAUCGCCUUAUGCAAGUUUGGUUCAUUUGUUUUUCUCUGAUUGUAAAAGGAAAAGAUGGAUUGUUAAUUGGAAGUUCUGACAUGGAAAAAAAAGGCCAAAAAUGUCAAGCACUGCACACUUUUUUAUUAAUAAGUAUAAUAUCAAUACAAAUAAACAUAAAAAAAAUAUUGAUCUUUGCUUGGACACCUUUUCUCAAUAACUUCAUUAUUCCCACCAAAAUAACCAAAAGCUUCCUGUUUCUGGUUAAUUAAGUCAGAUAAUUUAAUAAAACACAUUCCUGAAGUGCAAAUUUAUUUCCAGUUCCUGACUCCAGUUCACCGAUUCGUCUCUAGUAUUUAAAAUAAAACUAAAUCGAGUAUUUUAGGCCAAACAGUGGCCUUCAUUAGCAAUUACAAAACAAAACUGCAAUAUAAUAUAAUUUCCAUUGCUCAUACUGUGAUCACAUUUAACUGCAAAACGUGGAAAUAAUCUGCAGCUUAAUCCCAGAACUUCACCAUUUUUAUUUUUAUAAUUAGUGUAAGCAAAAUAUCUUUAUGUUUCAAGGCAGGCACAGUUUAUGUGUUAAAGUUUUUAAUGGUGAAAAUAUAAACUAUACAUUUAAAAACUGCUGGAUAAAAAUGGAUCAUUGUAACUAAAUAGACAUUUAUUGUAAAACAAAGACAACUCCUCCAAUAUGGUUUGUUGAAGUAUUUUUUAAAAACUGUUCUUUGAAGAAAGUAGUCAAGAAUAGCACUACCUAAACAUAUUUUUACUGGAGUAAAAUUAGUCGUCCAAGAAACUAUUCAAGAGUAAAAUGGUAUGACAGAAAGGCUACACAAGUACUAACUGGUCAGAAAAUCUUAUUUUUGUAUCUGAAAAGUUAUGUGCCAAUUCUGUUUAUUAAAAGUAAAAUAAAAUAAAAUAACAUAUAACACAAUUCCAAAAUAAAUUUAGGCACUAGAAACUUUUAGAAAUAAUAUUUCAAUAGAAAGUUUAACGUAGUAGACAUGGAUUGUUUUAAGGUUCAUUUGCAGCUUUUAUCAUAAUUUGAUCUCCAAAUAUAACAUUAUUAAAACAAAGUUGGUGUAUGAAAAAAAUGUCUCACUUUGACAGAAACCUUGUACAUUUUUAAUUAUAAUAUAUUCAGUGAAGUUACUCCAACUAAGGAGAGACUCCAUUAAUUUUAUCCAAAUAUGAGUAGGGCUAUUUCAUAACAUUACUCAACUAAAAGCAAAAAGGAUGUUGGAGUAAAUCUACUCUAAAAAGUACACUUUAUUACAAACCGUUACUCAAGUAAAUGUUGCUAGUUUCUACAAAUUUGAAGUUUGUAAUGGGCAUAUUACGAUUGCUAAUAUGCCCAUUUUCAGUCAUUACAUACAUUUAAUAAUAUAACAAUUUAAAUAAAAUGUGCAGUUGUACACAGCUGUUUGUGAUCGGUGAAUAACGUGAUAGAUGUGGGAUAAAUUUAGAGCAUCCUGUCAGGCUAGCGAGGCUGCGCUCCAUCGCGAUGUUUAACUGUGCAGUCAGUCUCGUGAGCGGCUUUCCCAUCACUACGCACAACAAACUGCGUAAAAACACCUCCUCCCAACUAAUUAAAACAGCUUCUAUAGCGGAACACAACAUGGUAAUGCUCCCAUUGUGUCGAUCUAAACGUAUUUUUCGAGAAAAGUCCGAAUUAACAUCGGAUGCAGACCUGCUCUCGUCGACCUUGGAGCAGAAACGUUACAGCUACUUAGCUUAGCACGUUUUAGCAUUAGCUUCGAAGAAGCCGCGAAAAACACCGCAAAUUGUUUCAACCGCUACACCCUCCGAGACGACUGCUAGGUGCGUUGACUGUUCUCUACUAGCACAUGCAUGCGUUUGGAGGAUCCAGAUGUCAUACCCUCCGCCAGUCCCGAAGGUGAACGUUUACCUGCCAUGGAGGCCGUGUUGAUGAUGACGCCGCCGCGGCCGCCGCUCAGCCGGUUCAUCUGCUCCAGAGCCACGUGUUGUGGAAAAGCUUCUGGCUUUCAGCUAAGCUUCGUGUUUUAACACGUUACCUCUGAUCUGCUCCUCGGAUUCAACGUCACACUUCAGGAAGAUGGUCUUCUCUGCUCCGAAGUGCUGCUCCAGGGCCUGCAGGAGGCGCUCUGCCGCAGACUCAUUAAUGUCCAGCAGAGCCACCUGCACAG
Molecule: long non-coding RNA, 2871 nt
Organism: Gambusia affinis (western mosquitofish)
Lineage: Eukaryota; Metazoa; Chordata; Actinopteri; Cyprinodontiformes; Poeciliidae
Exons: 3
Source: RefSeq, a predicted model, not a curated record